This 1113-nucleotide long non-coding RNA is filed under the name Oryctolagus cuniculus (rabbit). RNAcentral describes it as "lncRNA (ENSOCUG00000031285.1)". Lineage: Eukaryota; Metazoa; Chordata; Mammalia; Lagomorpha; Leporidae. The record is from RNAcentral.
AGGCACCGCACUCCCCAGGCGAGUAGAGCCGGCCACCCCGUCAGCGCUUCGUGGAUAAAACUUUCCUGUCGUAGGUGCAGAACCGGGUUCUUCCAGAACUCCCUGCAGCCCAAGGCUGGGUCUGGACCGCCACGGUGUGCAGCGGCUGCAGCAGUCCAGGCCCAUGGAUCAUUACCAUUUCCCCCAGAGGGAACGGCCCGCAGCGGCCUCCGUGCCAGCACACGAGCGGGGGUUGCAGCGUUCAGAGGGGAGGGAGCCCAGGGAACGGCAGAGGAGGAGGAACUUUUCCGGGGGUUCGGGUUCUCGGCAUCAUUGCUGCUACUUUCAAAACAAAGCGAAGGGACCGGUGCUGCAGCAUGGCUGGCUAAACCGCCACUUGGGAUGCCGGGAUCCGUAUUGGAGCACCAUUUCCAGUCCCAGCUGCUCCGCUUCUCACCCAGCCUCCUGCUAAUGAGCCUGGGAGAGUGGCAGAAGAUGGCCCACGGGCCUGAUCCUGCCUCCUGGCUUCAGUCUGGCCCAGCCCCAGCUGUGUGCUUAUUUGGGGGAGUGAAUCACAGAUGGAAGACUCUCGCUCGCUCUCUCUCCUCUCCUCUCUCUCGCUCUUUCUCUCUCUGUCACUUUGCCUUUCAAAUAAAUUAAAAACAAAACUAACCCCUGGCCCUUACUGCCGUCCCACCGUCGUGUGGCUGUGGUGGGCUCCUGCACGACACUGAGCGACCCCCAUCCGUGUUGUGCAGGAGCAGCAUGGGGCGGGAUGGGCGAACCACGCAGGCCUGUCAAGCUACCCCAGGUGGGAGCCCGGCUUAGCUGAGACUGCUUGUUCUUGGAAAGAGCUUUAUUCGAGGGCCUGGCUCCCUCCCGAGAGGCUUCGUGCUGGCUCCAGGAAGGCCCUGAGCUCACAGGAGGUCAUGCAGGGGGCCCGGCGUGGGUGCACUGGCCGCUCACUCGUCCUCCUCUGGCCUCAGCCACAGCACCAGCGGAGUGCGGCCAGACGUUCCUAUGUGUGAUUCAUAACCGGGCAGCUCAAACAUUUCGGAGCUGUUUUGGAAAGCCGGAGUGGUUUUCCCAUGAAAAGAAGAAAAUAAAAGCUUUUCCAUUUCAAAGGAAAGGUCA